This 118-nucleotide non-coding RNA is filed under the name unclassified sequences. The record is from Rfam.
UGGCAAUGAAGAAGUUGACUGUGUCGGGAUGCAGCUGAUUGUGGAGUCUGAUAUUGGGUUAUGUGAUUACCUCAACCCGGAUAGGUUCUUUAGAAAGAACUGAACGAAAACACAUUGA